This 228-nucleotide unclassified non-coding RNA is filed under the name Hevea brasiliensis (rubber tree). The record is from RNAcentral. Lineage: Eukaryota; Viridiplantae; Streptophyta; Magnoliopsida; Malpighiales; Euphorbiaceae.
GAGAGAGGACAGAAGCAAUUGAAGAUGAUAAAGGGAGUGAUCUUGAUGAACGAUAAGGGAAAGCCUCGUCUUGCUAAAUUCUACGAUUAUCAUCCCGCAGAGAAGCAGCAAGAGCUGAUUCGAAAACUAUAUGGAGUUUUAUCCAGUAGAGCAGAGAAUGUAAGCAACUUCGUCAAGGUUGACUCUCUCUUUGGACCAGUAUGUGUUUUCCUCUUGGCUCUCUCUAUA